GUUAUUGUAGCUUAACAUGAAAGCACGGCACUGAAAAUGCCGCGAUGGGACUUACAAAAACCCCAAAAACA
RNAcentral lists this transfer RNA (71 nucleotides) under Liolaemus darwinii. RNAcentral's name for it is "tRNA-Phe". It matches the Rfam family "tRNA". From Rfam's summary of the family: Transfer RNA (tRNA) molecules are approximately 80 nucleotides in length. Their secondary structure includes four short double-helical elements and three loops (D, anti-codon, and T loops). The record is from RNAcentral. Lineage: Eukaryota; Metazoa; Chordata; Lepidosauria; Squamata. RNAcentral also lists the same sequence under 2 other names.